This 427-nucleotide ribosomal RNA is filed under the name uncultured Hydrogenophaga sp. RNAcentral's name for it is "bacterial SSU rRNA". It matches the Rfam family "Bacterial small subunit ribosomal RNA", at positions 353 to 772 of the family's 1533-position model. Lineage: Bacteria; Pseudomonadati; Pseudomonadota; Betaproteobacteria; Burkholderiales; Comamonadaceae. The record is from RNAcentral.
AGUGGGGAAUUUUGGACAAUGGGGGCAACCCUGAUCCAGCAAUGCCGCGUGCAGGAAGAAGGCCUUCGGGUUGUAAACUGCUUUUGUACGGAACGAAAAGGCUCUGGUUAAUACCUGGGGCUCAUGACGGUACCGUAAGAAUAAGCACCGGCUAACUACGUGCCAGCAGCCGCGGUAAUACGUAGGGUGCAAGCGUUAAUCGGAAUUACUGGGCGUAAAGCGUGCGCAGGCGGUGCUGUAAGACAGGCGUGAAAUCCCCGGGCUUAACCUGGGAAUUGCGCUUGUGACUGCAGUGCUGGAGUGCGGCAGAGGGGGAUGGAAUUCCGCGUGUAGCAGUGAAAUGCGUAGAUAUGCGGAGGAACACCGAUGGCGAAGGCAAUCCCCUGGGCCUGCACUGACGCUCAUGCACGAAAGCGUGGGGAGCAAA